UUAAAUAUCUAGGCAUUACAAUCUCUUCAGAUCUCAAAUGGAACAAACAUAUACAACAAUCAGCAGCAAAAGCGAAUCAAUCUUUAUCAUUCGUCAGACGCAAUCUAAAAAUUAGUUCAAAAUUAGUGAAGGAAAGAGCAUAUCAAACAACAGUAAGACCAAAACUUGAAUACUGAUGUACAGUUUGGGAACCACACACAUCAGAAAAUAUAUACAG
Molecule: long non-coding RNA, 217 nt
Filed under: Mytilus galloprovincialis (Mediterranean mussel)
Lineage: Eukaryota; Metazoa; Mollusca; Bivalvia; Mytilida; Mytilidae
Source: RNAcentral